Molecule: ribosomal RNA, 441 nt
Filed under: uncultured bacterium
Lineage: Bacteria
Description: partial 16S ribosomal RNA
Rfam family: Bacterial small subunit ribosomal RNA
Source: RNAcentral
CCUACGGGAGGCAGCAGUGGGGAAUAUUGCACAAUGGGGGGAACCCUGAUGCAGCGACGCCGCGUGGGUGAAGGAGUAUUUCGGUAUGUAAAGCCCUAUCAGCAGGGAAGAACAAUGACGGUACCUGACUAAGAAGCACCGGCUAAAUACGUGCCAGCAGCCGCGGUAAUACGUAUGGUGCAAGCGUUAUCCGGAUGUACUGGGUGUAAAGGGAGCGCAGGCGGCGCGUUAAGCCUGGUGUGAAAGUCCGCGGCCCAACCGCGGGACUGCAUUGGGAACUGGCGCGCUGGAGUGCCGGAGGGGUAGGUGGAAUUCCUGGGGUAGCGGUGAAAUGCGUAGAUAUUAGGAGGAACACCAGUGGCGAAGGCGGCCUACUGGACGGUGACUGACGCUGAGGCUCGAAAGCGUGGGGAGCAAACAGGAUUAGAUACCCCUGUAGUC